GACGAACGCUGGCGGCGUGCUUAACACAUGCAAGUCGAACGGAAAGGCCCUGCUUUUGUGUGUUGCUCGUGUGGCGAACGGGUGAGUAACACGCGAGUAACCUGCCCUUGUCUUUGGGGUAUAUUCAGGAAACUGGGGAUAUUACACGGUAUGAUCUCUUGCUCCGUGGUGGUGAAUGGAAAGUUUCGGUCGUUGGGGAUCGUCUGGCGGCUUAUCCGCUUCAUGGUGGGGUAGGGGAUGACCAAGGCUUUGAAGGCUAGGCGGCCUGAGAGGGGGACCGGCCACAUUGGGACUGAGAUACGGCGCAGACGCCUACGGGAGGCAGCGGGGGGGAAUAUGGCACAGUGGGCGGAAGCGUGAUGCAGCAACGCCGCGUGCGGGAAGACGGGUUUCGGGUUGUAAACAGCUGUCGCCUGAGACGAAGAGAGAGUGACGGUAAUGGGUAAAGAAGCACCGGCUAACUACGUG
This 468-nucleotide ribosomal RNA is filed under the name uncultured bacterium. RNAcentral's name for it is "partial 16S ribosomal RNA". It matches the Rfam family "Bacterial small subunit ribosomal RNA", at positions 28 to 507 of the family's 1533-position model. The record is from RNAcentral.